Molecule: long non-coding RNA, 620 nt
Organism: Rosa chinensis
Lineage: Eukaryota; Viridiplantae; Streptophyta; Magnoliopsida; Rosales; Rosaceae
Exons: 6
Source: RefSeq, a predicted model, not a curated record
UUGUCCUCCUCCUUUCUCGGUUUGUCCCUCUCCACCUUAGAGUGUUCUCGGUUUCUCCCUCUCGGUCCAGAACUCCAGAUCAGUGCGAGAAGUUCUGGGAUGAAGCUAGAAAUCUGAAUCCAAUCUCCGUUUCUCCCUUUCCUCGAUUCCAUUCCUCCCGCUUAGACAAAGCCUCAAGGAGGUGAAGUGGUUGCUGGAGAAGGCAGAACCGUUGGCUUCUAGUCUUCUAAGUCUCAAUCAAGGGAACACUGCUACUGCCCACUUCGACUAGCUCUGUGAAGCAGUGGUUGAAGAAAUCUUGUAUUCCUUAAGCUUUGUAAAUGAUAAAUUGAAACAGUGGUGAGCCUUUCAGAUGAAAGUCAGCUUGUGGGUUGUUAGGACACUUUGUUGUAUCAAAGAAGCCUGGAGAUGGUAAGCGGUUCCUCCGCUCACUUGGGAAGGAGAGGCAUGAACUUGCUGAGAGAGUAAUGGUCACACGGCUUCAUCUCUAUGGUAAAUGGGUCAAGAAAUGUAAUCACGUUGAAGCAAGAGCAUUUGUUUUGGGGCCUCAAAUUUUUUUUCGCCUUGAGCCUCUGAACUCACCGGGCCGACCCGAACGAGAUCACAAAAUUAAUAUAUCU